RNAcentral lists this long non-coding RNA (1597 nucleotides) under Calidris pugnax (ruff). RNAcentral's name for it is "lncRNA (ENSCPUG00000001582.1)". The record is from RNAcentral. Lineage: Eukaryota; Metazoa; Chordata; Aves; Charadriiformes; Scolopacidae.
AGCCAUGAGGUGGAGGCUCCCUCUUUGGGACAGGUGCCCCCCAUCUAGGGGAGCUCGGGCCACCCGGGCCUUCAGCCUCUGCACCAGUUACAGUACAGGCUUUGGCAGCUUGUGGCCGUCUCUGAGCCCUGGGCAGGUGUCCCUGUUGCCCUAAAGCGUCACAGAUGACGUCUCGCUCCUGUGGUGAGGCAACUGGCUGGAGCCCAUCUUGUCACCAUUUCAGGUAGUCUGGGACUUGCCAUGCUUUGCUUUUAAAGAAUAUUAAGAGAUCAAGCUUCUUAAUUUGCUUUUCUGAAACAGAAAACCACUUUGUGUUCAGCUGGAAUACUUGGACCACUGAAUCUUCACAUGGAUACGUCCUGGUAGGAUCAGACCAUGGACAUCCCUGGGAGAUGAGGGCACUGACUCCAUCCAACAUCAGAUUGCUUUCAAUUGCUUUGUAGUUUUCCUUUUACCAAAGGGCUAAGAAUUAACGUUAGAAAAGCACUGAUGAGACAAAUACAAACCUGCUUAUAUGAUCAACUCCUACCAGCUGAUUGUAAUGGAUGAUUAGCAUCCACUAGGACUGAAAUUAAAAAGGUCAUGGUACAUAUAGGUGGGAAAAUAAAUUUACUGAGGUGAAUAUCAUUAAAACAAAAUGUGUUGCAUCUGAAGUGUGUGUGCAAAUACUAGGUUUUUUUUAAAAUGUCUUCCACAUUUUAUUGGAAAGAAAUAGAUCUUCAGGGAAAGUAUAUUUUCAUUUUGUUUUAAUUCGUGUUUGAGAAGCAUCUUUUCCAGACCACUGUCCGUAGAACUGAUUUCCUCUAAGACCUUCAAGGAGUUUACUGUGUUCUGCCUUUGCAACAGAAAUCCAGACACUUUUGCAAAGUCUUGUGCUGCCAGCUCUGUGGGAGGAAGCCCAGUGUCUCCAGCAUGGCUGUAUGGCCAAGCUUUGGCGCUGCUGGAACCUCUAGAACCCAAACCCACGGCCACAUCCUCUCCUGAGCCACAAACCGCAGAUCCACCAGCUUCCAGCCAUCGGCCAGACGCCAGUCGUAUGUUAUUGAAGCAGUUGAUUGUCGUAGCAACAUCGCUCAAACAGGAGCUGAAAAGGAACAAGCUAGUAGUUAUAGGACUGCAUUUUUGCUAGCUGUUGGGGGGAUUUUUGUCUUUUAUGAUUUGUAUAACUGUAAAGUUCCCCGUAGCAGUUUCAACUGCAUGAUUUUACACUAGUAAUCCUUCUUUCUCUCUUCUUUUUCAGACGCCAGUCGUAUGUUAUUGAAGCAGUUGAUUGUCGUAGCAACAUCGCUCAAAUAGGAACUGAAAAGGAAAAAGCUAGUGGUUAUAGGACUGCAUUUUUGCUAGCUGUUGGGGGGAUUUUUGUCUUUUAUGAUUUGUAUAACUGUAAAGUUCCCCGUAGAGAAGCAAAUACAAUGGUAAAAGGAUAUGGAAAAUGUUACUAAAAUGAUGUUAUUUGUAUUUGUGUUUGUUUUUGGCUUCAUUGUCCAUGAAAACCUAACAAUGCAGAGCUAAGCGAAGCUACAUAGUUCUUUAUUUUUGUUAUGUUUUUCCAAAAGAUUGAUCCAAAGCCUGGAUAGUGCUGCUUCUAGUACUUGCA